GCAAUUCAUAUGUGCAACCGGAAAGGGUGGAGCCUGGCUGCCCCUCUCUUAGACCUCAUUUAAGGGCUGACUGCCCCUGAGGAAGGAUUUUUUUCUGGAGAUUUUCCUUGUGAAGAUUUUCCUUGUGAAUGCAGAACCUUCUGGUUUGGAUACUCCUGACCACACCAAGAAUGUUUCUCUGCAGAAUCAGAUUCAGUGAUUUGCAUUAGGAACUGAUGAACGUGAAGCUGAGGUUGUCCCCAGGAAUCUGGAAGAGAAACUGAAUUUGCUUCAGUGGAAAGUGAGCCAGCGUGGUGGUUUUUAUAUCCCUAAGUUAGUACUGAAGAGAAGAGGAAAACUUAGGAAGUAAUUUCACAGUCAAGCAUCAGUAUGCUGCUGGAACAUCAGUGGAGUGAGACACAGGUAUCUGUCUGCCUCAGCAAGAGGGCAUCAACAAAUUGGAGUGGGGCAGAGAAGAAAGCUGCUCCUCGGUGAUGCAAGAAGAAGUUGUGUCUAACCCAUGGCUUGAACACUAGGCAAAGACUCCACAGGUCUUUCCUCUCAUCCAUGAAGCAACAGUAACCUGUAAAACAGUGCAUCUUUUUAGUGAAUAGUGGAGUGAUGAUGUGUUACAUUGCCAAGGCACUAAACAGAAGGAAGGCAGUAACUUUGAAAGAAAGCACCAUACCUUAAGGAUCUCACCAUCAAAAUUCACAUUCUUCAGUCCAUGUAUUGGAGCUUCCACAAUAACUGUUUUUCCAUUUUUAUAAAUUUUAAUAUUGUCUGUAAAAAGUAAUGGAGAAAAUGAGUAGCACAAAGUACAUCAUUUUCCUUCACAAUUACCAUUGUUCUGCUGCAGUCAGAAGGUUUGGAAUUGUUGAUGUUUUGCUUUGUUUUGUUUUGUGGAGAGAUCAAAAAGAGAAGAAACAUUCAAUUCAUUUGUGAAAACAUUCUACUGUGGUCUCUUGUAGUUGGAACUUACUUUUGUAUCCAGUCUAUUAAGUCUUGAAAUGAAAAUGAUAUUGGUGGUUCUCCAGAUAAAUAACUGGCCUGAAGCAUGUUAACUGUGACUGUAACAAGUACACUUUUUGUAAACGAGAACCAGUCUUGGACAGAAACCAUUUCUUAUAUGUAUACUGCUUUACCUCUUAGUUAUACCAAGGAAAAGUAAGUGUGUAUCUGCUAUGGGAAAAACAGAAUUAUUAAGCAAUACAAAUAUUGAGAUGAUCUCUAGUUUUUCUUUGAAUUAAUCCCAUUUGUGUUUUCUUAACAGUGUGAUGUUUCUGUGAAGCAUAUAAAAAACAGACUUGAAGACACUUGGUUUCUGAAUCAGUCCUAGAAAUGUGGGUAUGAAAGCUCACCUUUUUCAUACUCAGAAACUCCACUGUCUGAUAGUACUGAUUCUUUAUUGCAUGUCACGAGCAGAGAUGAAUCUGCUGCAGGACAGAUUGUGAUGUUCCUAUAAGAAAAAAAAAGGAAAAAAAAAAAAGAAUAAACUAGUGGUUAAUUUGAAAUCUAGGGUAGAGAUAUUUGUGAGCAAAGCUAGCAGAGAGCUAAUUUGAACAUUUGGACUGUGAAUGAGUGACUGAGCUGCUUUCAUUUCAAAAUGCAAAAUUUAUUGGACCUUUGGAUGCUGAAAUUCAACCUCUGAAGAAAAGGUUCUGUGGGAACUUACGGAGCAGGUUAUAAGAUCCUGACUGCAUCACUGAAUAUGAGGAAAAUGAAACCAAUGACUGUCUGAUGAGGAUUCUGUAAAUCCUCAAAUAUACAACUAUAAACUAGUUGCACCCAAACUAGACAUCUCCCUUCCCAGACUAACUCCUUGAAGUUUUUGUAUCUAAUUAUUGAGCCUUCAGAAUAAAUCACACUUACGCUGAACUUGUAUUUAUGUGAACCUCUCUUGACAAAGACUGGUGAUCAACUUUUCUUGUAGUAAUGAUGAAUUUUGGAUGUUCGGUACAAUCUUGGGCCACUACCACAUUGCAGCUUUUAUUGAAAGAACAGGUAAAGCUCAUGCGAUCAAAUGUUUUGAAAUCUCCCUUACUGACUUCACAUGUGGCUGCAAAACAAAACCAGAAAAGAAAUGGCAGAUGGGACAAUGGCAUGGUGUGUUGCUGCAAAGUACUGAAGGCUGCCUCUGUGAGAUUGGACUAUACAGCAAAUAGAAAAAGAACUUCAACAUCUCCUUGUCAGAAUCUUUCGGUGCUGCCAGUCUGUAAGAAUAGGAUAUCACUACAGAAUUGCUAAUAGUUGUAGACUAUAUUAGUAGUGAUUUUGAUGACAUGCCUCAAACCUCAAGACAGUAUAGUGACUAAAACUUACUAAUGUCUUCAAAAACUAAAAGUAGUAACCGUUAUAGAAACUAAUUCACAUUUGCCACGGAAGUGUUAGAUACCAAUAACUUAAUACUCACAUGAUUUUUUUUUUAAUAAAAUAAUAAACAUGGCAAAAAAUCAAUUAUUUAUCUUACACCCAUCAGAUAAUGCCUCUCAACACAGAGAUGGCACCUUCUUAGAAGGGGCAAAAGAGGACCUCUACAGCUUGCAGAUAGGAAUGAUUCCUGAACUCUGAAGAUUUACAUCAGUUUGAAGUCUCUUCAUCCACCUGCUAGUAAAUGUACUUCUAAGUGAUAAAAUGAACUGCUGAAAAAGCAGAGUUGGAGACACUAAGCUUCCCUCUAGAAGACCAAUAUGGGGAAAGACAAGUCCCAGUUGUCUCAGAGGAUGGAUAUACAAACAUUGCUUCCUCAUGAGACAAUCAUAUAAGUAGUACUUACAUUGAUCUUCUUGUGCUAUUUGUGAAGCUAUUUCAGGAAGGAAAUUCCAGGCAGUGAUAUCUCUAGUCUCAUAUGAUGAAGAUGAUGGCCCUAAGGGCAAAGUGAAUGGCACUCGGAGUCCCUGAUAGUAAAGUGUUACCUGAAAAAGUAGAAAUGAAAAAAAAAACAUUAAGAUAUAUUGAGCCAUAUUGCUUGUGAUAUCACUGCAAAGAGACAAACAAAAAAGACAUCCUGGAAAAAUAUCUUGAAGAUACACAAUCGCAGUUGUGUUAGUUUCUCUAGGAUAUGCCCAAAUCUCAGGUUGUUCUUAGCAAUCACUCUCUCUUCUGGUCUCAGUUUCUGACUUUUAUGAGAAAUUGUUAAGAACAUUAGAAAGUAACCUAUGUAGAUGAAGUUUAAAUGAUAAUUAUGUGACUUUUGAAAAAAGUGAUUUAAAAAUUAAAGUAACUAAUCUGAUGGAUGUGUUUGGCAAAGAGAACAGUGUCUAUUAAGGGCUGAAAAAUGGCAUGAUGUGCCAUGGUGGUAAGAUUUCUUACUUUUCUACAUACAAAAGACAUUUACCAAGACCAUCAACUUAAUGACUAAUGUUUCUACUUCUUCAUUAUCAUGUAAUAAAGAUCCUGCAAUUCUGAAGCAUAACGGAAGGUUAAAGACACACUAAUUUCUCUGUUUAUGAAUAGCGAGCUGUUAUUAAUUUGCCACAGAUCCAUAGGGGAAAACUUUCAAAGCAGUGCACAGGGAUUUGGUGGACAAGGACCAAUUAAUCAGUGGGAUUCUGCAGAUCCAGCCUGUGCAAGCUGCUCUGAGAGUGUAACUAACUGCUUCAGUUUAGUUAAAGCUGAGUUAAAGCCACAGAAUUAUCUGUGGCUGUCGUAACUUGCUCAGAUCUGUCUUACAGAGUGU
This is a long non-coding RNA of Gallus gallus (chicken), 3658 nucleotides long. RefSeq lists it as uncharacterized. Lineage: Eukaryota; Metazoa; Chordata; Aves; Galliformes; Phasianidae. The transcript is spliced from 4 exons. The record is from RefSeq and is a predicted model, not a curated record.